Molecule: ribosomal RNA, 460 nt
Filed under: uncultured bacterium
Lineage: Bacteria
Description: SSU rRNA
Rfam family: Bacterial small subunit ribosomal RNA
Source: RNAcentral
AGAAUCAACGCUGGCGGCGUGCCUAACACAUGCAAGUCGAACGAGAAAGUGGAGCAAUCCAUGAGUAAAGUGGCGACCGGGUGAGUAACACGUGACUAACCUACCUUCGAGUGGGGGAUAACAUCGGGAAACCGAUGCUAAUACCGCAUAACAUCGCAAGAUCAAAGCAGCAAUGCGCUUGAAGAGGGGGUCGCGGCUGAUUAGCUAGUUGGCGGGGUAAUGGCCCACCAAGGCGAAGAUCGGUAUCCGGCCUGAGAGGGCGCACGGACACACUGGAACUGAAACACGGUCCAGACUCCUACGGGAGGCAGCAGUGGGGAAUUUUGCGCAAUGGGGGAAACCCUGACGCAGCAACGCCGCGUGGAGGAUGAAGCCCCUUGGGGCGUAAACUCCUUUCGACCAAGACGAUAAUGACGGUACUGGUGGAAGAAGCACCGGCUAACUCUGCGCCAGCAGCCGC